Molecule: non-coding RNA, 711 nt
Organism: Xenopus laevis (African clawed frog)
Lineage: Eukaryota; Metazoa; Chordata; Amphibia; Anura; Pipidae
Source: the annotation of a RefSeq genome assembly
ACUAAAAAAAAAGAAACAGAAGUAUGGUAAGUGAAGUGGUUUUAUGGGUGGAGACACCUGAUCACUGACAGUUAAAACAAGAUCUAAGCUGCUUGACACACUCACUCAGCAGAGAGGGGUGACAAUAUAUAUAUAUUGUUUAUCUGCUUUCUGUGCUGCCUGAAUAAAUACAGAAUGCUGUGCCAUGUGUUAAUCUUAAUCUGUGUUAAUAGCGUUGUGGUUGGUAAUACUAUAAACUCAAAGGAACAAUAUAUUUCGAGACAUGUUGGAGAAAAUGUGACAUUAACCUGUGAAUACUCCACCAGCAGCAAUGGUCCUUACCUCUCCUGGUAUCGCCAAUAUUCCAAUCAAAUUGAAUAUCUACUUUAUAGAGGAGCUAAGAGCUAUUCUAGCAUGAAGCAUGAUGGAAACUAUGGAAAAGGAAAGUUUGAUUCCAUCGCCAAUGAUACAUCCACUCAAUUAAUCAUCUUCAGUCUGACUGUGGAAGAUUCUGCUUUAUACUUGUGUGCUCUUAGCGAUGCAGCACAAUGGUGAUUGAGCAUCACAGUUCAGUGUAAAAACCUUCCUCUACAACAUUACUAUAGAACCAGCAGGCGGCACAGUUUUGUUUUGCAGAGUAACACAGGAACAAUCUAUUCACUGAUGUAUUUGCUGUAAGGUUUCAUUUAUAAAGGCACAAACCUUUUCUAACUAAAGUAUAAUUGAUGAAGA